This 504-nucleotide ribosomal RNA is filed under the name uncultured bacterium. RNAcentral's name for it is "partial 16S ribosomal RNA". It matches the Rfam family "Bacterial small subunit ribosomal RNA", at positions 28 to 523 of the family's 1533-position model. The record is from RNAcentral.
GAUGAACGCUGGCGGCGUGCCUUAAGCAUGCAAGUCGGACGGGAUUUUGGAGUCGCAAGAUUUUGAUUUCUAGUGGCGGACGGGUGAGUAAUGCAUCGGAACGUACCGUGUAAUGGGGGAUAACGUAGCGAAAGUUACGCUAAUACCGCAUACGACCUGAGGGUGAAAGCAGGGGAUCGCAAGACCUUGCGUUAGACGAGCGGCCGAUGUCAGAUUAGCUAGUUGGUGAGGUAAAGGCUCACCAAGGCGACGAUCUGUAGCGGGUCUGAGAGGAUGAUCCGCCACACUGGGACUGAGACACGGCCCAGACUCCUACGGGAGGCAGCAGUGGGGAAUUUUGGACAAUGGGGGCAACCCUGAUCCAGCCAUGCCGCGUGAGUGAAGAAGGCCUUCGGGUUGUAAAGCUCUUUCGGCCGGGAAGAAAUCGCACAGGCUAAUACUCUGUGUGGAUGACGGUACCGGCAUAAGAAGCACCGGCUAACUACGUGCCAGCCGCCGCGGUAA